RNAcentral lists this ribosomal RNA (900 nucleotides) under uncultured Acidobacteriota bacterium. RNAcentral's name for it is "bacterial SSU rRNA". It matches the Rfam family "Bacterial small subunit ribosomal RNA", at positions 68 to 945 of the family's 1533-position model. The record is from RNAcentral. Lineage: Bacteria; Pseudomonadati; Acidobacteriota.
GCGAAAGGGGCUUCGGCCCUGAGUAGAGUGGCGAACAGGUGAGUAACACGUGGGUGAUCUACCUUCGAGUGGGGGAUAACGUUCCGAAAGGAACGCUAAUACCGCAUGACGUUCUGGGUUUAAAGACCUGGAAACCAAAGCCGGGGACCGCAAGGCCUGGCGCUUGAAGAGGAGCCCGCGUCCGAUUAGCUAGUUGGCGGGGUAAUGGCCCACCAAGGCGACGAUCGGUAGCCGGCCUGAGAGGGCGGACGGCCACACUGGAACUGAGACACGGUCCAGACUCCUACGGGAGGCAGCAGUGGGGAAUUGUUCACAAUGGGCGCAAGCCUGAUGACGCAACGCCGCGUGGGGGAUGAAGGUCUUCGGAUUGUAAACCCCUGUCGAAUGGGACGAACGACUCGCGCUUUAAUACGGCGCGGGACUGACGGUACCGUUAAAGGAAGCCACGGCUAACUCUGUGCCAGCAGCCGCGGUAAUACAGAGGUGGCAAGCGUUGUUCGGAAUUACUGGGCGUAAAGGGCGCGUAGGCGGCCAUCUAAGUCAGACGUGAAAUCCCCCGGCUUAACCUGGGAACUGCGUCUGAUACUGGACGGCUCGAGUAUGGGAGAGGGAUGUAGAAUUCCAGGUGUAGCGGUGAAAUGCGUAGAUAUCUGGAGGAAUACCGGUUGGCGAAGGCGGCAUCCUGGACCAUUUACUGACGCUGAGGCGCGAAAGCUAGGGGAGCAAACGGGAUUAGAUACCCCGGUAGUCCUAGCCCUAAACGAUGAAUGCUUGGUGUGGCGGGUAUCGAUUCCUGCCGUGCCGAAGCUAACGCAUUAAGCAUUCCGCCUGGGGAGUACGGUCGCAAGGCUGAAACUCAAGGGAAUUGACGGGGGCCCGCACAACGGUGGAACAUGUGGU